GCCGCCGUAGCUCAGCUGGGAGAGCGCCCGGCUGAAGACCGGGAAGUCGGGGGUUCAAGUCCCCCCGGCGGCACCA
RNAcentral lists this transfer RNA (76 nucleotides) under Ignisphaera aggregans. RNAcentral describes it as "tRNA-Phe". It matches the Rfam family "tRNA". Rfam says of the family: Transfer RNA (tRNA) molecules are approximately 80 nucleotides in length. Their secondary structure includes four short double-helical elements and three loops (D, anti-codon, and T loops). Lineage: Archaea; Thermoproteati; Thermoproteota; Thermoprotei; Desulfurococcales; Desulfurococcaceae. RNAcentral also lists the same sequence under 1 other name. The record is from RNAcentral.